This is a long non-coding RNA of Passer domesticus (house sparrow), 857 nucleotides long. RefSeq lists it as uncharacterized. NCBI's taxonomy places the organism in Eukaryota, Metazoa, Chordata, Aves, Passeriformes, Passeridae. The transcript has 3 exons. The record is from RefSeq and is a predicted model, not a curated record.
AGUUGGAUGUCCUUUACAUGUUACUGGGGGCUAGCAAAGAAGAUAAGUUGCUGAGAAGUGCCAAAGGAGCCGUAGGAUAACCAGCAAAGAACUGUGGUGACUACACCCCUAUGGUCACCAAGGAUGAAGUGCCACAGUACAGGUGUACAGCUCACCAUGGCAGUCACGUCCCCUUUCCCUUCUCCUCCUGCUCCUCUCUCCCCUCUCCCCGGUGUGUAAUCCCACUGUAUGCCUUGAACAGGCUCUACUGCAUGUUGCACCCUUUGCUGAACCAGUUCAAAACACUAACCAAACAUUAUCGUCUUUUCCCUUUUUUUUUUUUCUUAUCUUGCAUAGCUGGAUCAGCCGUGGAGUAAAUCCAGCAUGUGUCACAGCUGAGUGACAAGUCUGGCUUCUAGGGCAGAUCGAGGUCCUUUGGUGUUGUCAUUGAUCUUCAGUCUCUCUUGGAUGGCCUUCAUCCAAGCUUCUGCAUUCUCCACGCUGCUGUCAAAUUCCUCCUGGAGCUGCUGAGUCAUCGCAUUUGAAGAAGCUGAAAGGAGAGGAAACAGGGAGGGCAGCCAGAUGCUGGCUGAAGCAAUCAGCUACAGCACCUGACUUUGGUUCUGGAACCCUUCCCAAGCACUAACAGCAUGGUUUAUACCUGCAAGGUAAAAGUAUGAUUUCUGACUUACUCUGUGCUUGGGAGGAAGAACAACUGCUUUCUAUUUGAGAUUUGGCAAGAUCUGUAACUCCUCUGCAAAUUCUUCUAAAGUUGGGACUAAUGAUUAGUGGACAAAAGUUAACCAUUCAACAGCAUUCAGCCCAUUUCUGUUGCAUCAUUGGAACCAGAAGAUUGAGCAAUACUUCUGGAGAUGAAA